UCGUGCUAGGCGGGGAGGUAGCGGUGCCCUGUUCCCGCAAACCGCUAUAGCGGGGCUGAAUUCCCACCCGAGGGUUUAUCUUGUGGGGUCCGGCAGACGUAAGUGGUGAGGACUUUUGGGUCCCACGCAACUGGAACUCCUGAACCGUGUCAGGUCCGGAAGGAAGCAGCACUAAGGGAACCCUUCAGUGUGCCGUGGGGCAGCCUGGAAAGAGCUAACUGCAUCUGUAACGCCCGGAAGGUUAAUUCGGAGGUGGGUGCACGG
RNAcentral lists this signal recognition particle RNA (264 nucleotides) under Syntrophomonadaceae bacterium. RNAcentral's name for it is "signal recognition particle sRNA large type". It matches the Rfam family "Bacterial large signal recognition particle RNA". Rfam says of the family: The signal recognition particle (SRP) is a universally conserved ribonucleoprotein involved in the co-translational targeting of proteins to membranes. Lineage: Bacteria; Bacillati; Bacillota; Clostridia; Eubacteriales; Syntrophomonadaceae. The record is from RNAcentral.